This 186-nucleotide non-coding RNA is filed under the name Candidatus Aquicultor secundus. RNAcentral describes it as "Actinobacteria bacterium CG17_big_fil_post_rev_8_21_14_2_50_50_24 6S RNA". It matches the Rfam family "6S / SsrS RNA". From Rfam's summary of the family: E. coli 6S RNA was the first non coding RNA to be sequenced, but its function was unknown until recently. Lineage: Bacteria; Bacillati; Actinomycetota; Candidatus Aquicultoria; Candidatus Aquicultorales; Candidatus Aquicultoraceae. The record is from RNAcentral.
UAGGCUCUGCCUUGUUAGUGGAACGUAGUGUAUAUUUGAGCCAACACUAUUACAUAGGGUGAUCUACUCUAGCCGGUGGCACAAAAGCCCUCUGGAUUAGGGACUUGUAAAACCGGUAGGCGAACACCCAACCUGCGGAGAGCGGGCUGCAAUAUGUAUUUCGUGAAACGGCAAGGCGGGGCUUCU